GAGGUCCUGUCUUUGUGGAAGAAAAGAGACACAGAGGUUGUGGUUUCUGUGCUUCCCUCAAAAAACCAUGGUACGUCCAUAAUUAUCCACCACAGUGAUCUGCGAACCCUUCGACCACACCUGUGGCUAACAGGCGAGGUAUAUCAAUGAUUAAUUUAAGCACUCAUAACCACAAUAAUUAGACUGUGUAAUGUAAUUCAAUUAAAAGGACAUUAUCAUGAAAUUAUUUAUCAUUAACAUAAUUUAAAGUAUAUAAAUUACAUAGCUUUUGUGUUUAUGCAAAUUCUUUACGUAGGUAAUUGAAGGCCUGUUUCAUUGUCUGGCAAAAAAGGAGCAAAAGGGGAUCUACAUUAUGAACCAUUACACAGCGGGCUUGAUUCUCUUUGGUGAUCGGACACAGCUUUCUCGCCAAAGCUUGCGGAACGUAAGAUGAUUGUCCAAUGUCCAUAUAAUUAUGUUCAAAUACAUUUAGAAAGAAUUACUGAUUGAAUGCUAACAGAAUUCCACAAACUGUAAGAAAUACAUACAUGUUUUCUGACAGGUAAACUUCGAUCGGUACCAGGCCAUUGUCAUGUUUGUUAACAUUAAAAAUGUACACUGGAAGUUUCUGUUCAUCAAUGCAGUGAAUCACACUGUUUAUCUCCUUGAUCCUGCCCCAAGUUCAUCAGAGGAGGAAGACUCUAAACUCGCUGCACGUAAAUUCAGUGAUUACUUAAAAAUGAGGAGAACCCGCCACGCAAAAACAGAAUGGGUGGACAUUAAAUGGAAGGGAGGUGUCUUGACCCAUCCAGUGCAGAAGGAUGGCUUCAGCUGUGGAGUAUUAGUGGUGAUGAUGGCACGGGCAGUGAUGAAAGUAUUUCCAGAUUUUCCCGUCAUGAAAUUUAAAACCUCAAAAGAAAAAAUGGCAGAGGAAAGAAAAUUGAUGGCUCUGGAGAUACUACAAGCAUCAGUUUUUGACACUAACAGCAACUGUGCCAUGUGAUCGCUGACUAAGCCACCUGGAUCAGGACCUUCAAUGAUGAACUGGACGGGGAACAGAAAACAAACUGGAGGCUGGCUUGACUGCAAUGCUGGAAUUGGAGGCUGGCUUGACACAAGUGGAGGGAGAGACAGAGAAAGAGAGCCAGGAACAACAACAUCACAUUAGAAAGGUAUAGUAAUCAUCCACAACUAUUUUCAGUUGCGGAUGAUAAAGGAUUCAGAAAGUUUAUUCAUGCAGGCCCAUAUGACAGAGAAUAUGCAUCUUGUUUUUGUUUUCAUAUUUUAAUUUAUAUUUAAUUGUGUUGUGGUUUGCAGAGUUUUGUGUUGUUUCACUUUAAAUUUAUUUAAAAGGAAAAAGCUGAAAAUUUAAAUAGUUAAAAGUUGAAAUGUGAAUAGUUGCGUUUUUGUAUUAUAUGAUUUAUUUAUAACAUUUUAUGUGGAGUGAAUAAAUAAAAGUAUAUUUACGGUGGCCCCUAGAGACAAGGCACAUACAAACUCCAAAACACGUACAAACCCUUAAGCACGUACAAACUCCAAAACAUGUAAAAACCCCAAAACACGUAAAAACUCCAUAGCACGUACAAACUCCAAAACACGUAAAAACUCAGAAGCACGUACAAACUCCAAAACACGUACAAAAGACAACAGAAGUGCUCCAGAAUGCUAGGUGCAGUGUUGAGCUUUUGUUACCUAGUGGUUACACAAGCCAGGAAGUGCCAAUGACUGGAUUUGGUGUGUGGUAGUGACAAGUAAAUGAACAUUUUUUUUUUAUCAUUUGAAUAUAUAAGAGUGCUUGUGUAUAAAUACACAAACAAUACACAUAUGCUUUCAAUUGUGUAAUUUAAGUGAUCUAGGUAGCUCUGUUUUGGAAGUUCAGUUAACGCUAGAAAUGUGUUUUGGAGUUUGUACAUGCUUUGGAGUUUGUACGUGCUUUUUGGAGUUUGUACGUGCUUUGUCUCUAGGGGCCACGGCAUAUAUUUAUAUAUAAACAUAUAUAAAUAAAACCACUUUUUUUUACAUUAGUAAUUCCUUUUGUGCAUAAUUUUAUAUUAUUUUUAAUAAUAAAUUAAUUAAAGCAACAAAACAACCUGAAGAGCCAGUUCGGAGCCGAAAGAGCCGGCUCUUUUUAGUGAGCUGAGCCGAAAGAGCCAGUUCUCUAAAAAGAGCCGGAAAUCCCAUCACUAAUAAAGAAACACGUAAGUGAGUAUUUGCCUUAAUUUGCAGAAUGUUUGAUUUGCUGGCAACAGAACACUUACACACACAAACCCGGGAUAGUGAAUGCAGCAAUGUUACUUGACAAAUAGCAAAUCAUAGCAAAUAAAUAGAAACAGAAUAAUAUGCAUAAUGUGCAAACAAAAAGGUUAACACAUAUGGGACAAAUGGAGAGCAUUGCAACUGCUCAUCCACUUUGUCACAUCCUCACUUUAGUUUCUGUUUUACCUUGCAUUGGUAUCAGCAACAUCAGAAACAGUACAUUUCAUCAUUUUAUGAAAUGUACUUUAAAUUAAAGUAAUUUCUUCAAAAAGUAACAUUUAAAGAAAUUACUUUAAAUGUUACUUUAGUCCAUACAUGGACUUUUUUUUUUGAAAAUCUAGAUUUUGUUUUACGCAUCCUACCCAUCUGAGGUCUCCAACAUGCAAGUUGCACUUUAAAGCAUAAAAAAUCAAAUAAAGCAAA
Molecule: long non-coding RNA, 2658 nt
Organism: Oreochromis niloticus (Nile tilapia)
Lineage: Eukaryota; Metazoa; Chordata; Actinopteri; Cichliformes; Cichlidae
Source: Ensembl